UCCUCUGCAAUGGUUUGUUUUGGCUGC
Molecule: non-coding RNA, 27 nt
Filed under: Homo sapiens (human)
Lineage: Eukaryota; Metazoa; Chordata; Mammalia; Primates; Hominidae
Source: RNAcentral